RNAcentral lists this ribosomal RNA (393 nucleotides) under uncultured bacterium. RNAcentral's name for it is "partial 16S ribosomal RNA". It matches the Rfam family "Bacterial small subunit ribosomal RNA", at positions 523 to 918 of the family's 1533-position model. The record is from RNAcentral.
AUACGGAGGAUCCGAGCGUUAUCCGGAUUUAUUGGGUUUAAAGGGAGCGUAGGCGGAUUAUUAAGUCAGUUGUGAAAGUUUGCGGCUCAACCGUAAAAUUGCAGUUGAUACUGGUAGUCUUGAGUGCAGCAGAGGUAGGCGGAAUUCGUGGUGUAGCGGUGAAAUGCUUAGAUAUCACGAAGAACUCCGAUUGCGAAGGCAGCUUACUGGACUGUAACUGACGCUGAUGCUCGAAAGUGUGGGUAUCAAACAGGAUUAGAUACCCUGGUAGUCCACACAGUAAACGAUGAAUACUCGCUGUUUGCGAUAUACAGCAAGCGGCCAAGCGAAAGCAUUAAGUAUUCCACCUGGGGAGUACGCCGGCAACGGUGAAACUCAAAGGAAUUGACGGGG